AUGCCGCACUCUGGAGAGCGGCACCCGCCAUCAAUGGCGAGCGUGCCCACCGAAGGGGCGCGCGAGGAUCGGAUCCAACGGAUCGGCCUCGUAAUCUCUCAGGUAUCGAGGACAGAGGGGUCAUC
This 125-nucleotide non-coding RNA is filed under the name Cupriavidus necator. RNAcentral describes it as "Ralstonia eutropha Glycine sequence". It matches the Rfam family "Glycine riboswitch aptamer". From Rfam's summary of the family: This family represents the bacterial glycine riboswitch. Glycine riboswitches usually consist of two metabolite-binding aptamers domains with similar structures in tandem. The aptamers cooperatively bind glycine to regulate the expression of downstream genes. The record is from RNAcentral. Lineage: Bacteria; Pseudomonadati; Pseudomonadota; Betaproteobacteria; Burkholderiales; Burkholderiaceae.